This 20-nucleotide small RNA is filed under the name Arabidopsis thaliana (thale cress). RNAcentral describes it as "Ath_wt_03599". The record is from RNAcentral. Lineage: Eukaryota; Viridiplantae; Streptophyta; Magnoliopsida; Brassicales; Brassicaceae.
GACGCGGAUUACGGUGGCGG